AGUAAAGUCAGCUAAUAAAGCUAUCGGGCCCAUGCCCCGAAAAUGCCCACAGGCCUCUACUA
This 62-nucleotide transfer RNA is filed under the name Bothrops pubescens. RNAcentral's name for it is "tRNA-Met". The record is from RNAcentral. Lineage: Eukaryota; Metazoa; Chordata; Lepidosauria; Squamata; Viperidae.